GUACUGUUGAAGAGUCCCAGACCAGGGUGAAACAGCCGUCCAGUAC
RNAcentral lists this non-coding RNA (46 nucleotides) under Trichobilharzia regenti. The record is from RNAcentral. Lineage: Eukaryota; Metazoa; Platyhelminthes; Trematoda; Strigeidida; Schistosomatidae.